AGCACGACCUUGCCAAGGUCGGGGUCGCGGGUUCGAACCCCGUCGUCCGCUCCA
This 54-nucleotide transfer RNA is filed under the name Eggerthella lenta. RNAcentral describes it as "tRNA-Ser". It matches the Rfam family "tRNA", at positions 22 to 71 of the family's 71-position model. Rfam says of the family: Transfer RNA (tRNA) molecules are approximately 80 nucleotides in length. Their secondary structure includes four short double-helical elements and three loops (D, anti-codon, and T loops). Lineage: Bacteria; Bacillati; Actinomycetota; Coriobacteriia; Eggerthellales; Eggerthellaceae. The record is from RNAcentral.